CCCGGUCCUCGGUAGUGGCCUUCAGACCAGCCCCGUCAGGGGCACGCUGCGGGCCUCGAUCGAAGACCGGC
Non-coding RNA from Nocardioides sp. Soil774, 71 nucleotides. NCBI's taxonomy places the organism in Bacteria, Bacillati, Actinomycetota, Actinomycetes, Propionibacteriales, Nocardioidaceae. The record is from Rfam.